Molecule: ribosomal RNA, 500 nt
Filed under: uncultured bacterium
Lineage: Bacteria
Description: partial 16S ribosomal RNA
Rfam family: Bacterial small subunit ribosomal RNA
Source: RNAcentral
AUUGAACGCUGGCGGCAGGCCUAACACAUGCAAGUCGAGCGGAUGACGGGAGCUUGCUCCUUGAUUCAGCGGCGGACGGGUGAGUAAUGCCUAGGAAUCUGCCUGGUAGUGGGGGACAACGUUUCGAAAGGAACGCUAAUACCGCAUACGUCCUACGGGAGAAAGCAGGGGACCUUCGGGCCUUGCGCUAUCAGAUGAGCUUAGGUCGGAUUAGCUAGUUGGUGGGGUAAUGGCUCACCAAGGCGACGAUCCGUAACUGGUCUGAGAGGAUGAUAAGUCACACUGGAACUGAGACACGGUCCAGACUCCUACGGGAGGCAGCAGUGGGGAAUAUUGGACAAUGGGCGAAAGCCUGAUCCAGCCAUGCCGCGUGUGUGAAGAAGGUCUUCGGAUUGUAAAGCACUUUAAGUUGGGAGGAAGGGCAGUAAGUUAAUACCUUGCUGUUUUGACGUUACCGACAGAAUAAGCACCGGCUAACUCUGUGCCAGCCGCCGCGGUAA